Molecule: ribosomal RNA, 399 nt
Filed under: uncultured bacterium
Lineage: Bacteria
Description: bacterial SSU rRNA
Rfam family: Bacterial small subunit ribosomal RNA
Source: RNAcentral
CUGGUCUUGACAUCCACGGAAGUUUUCAGAGAUGAGAAUGUGCCUUCGGGAACCGUGAGACAGGUGCUGCAUGGCUGUUGUCAGCUCGUGUUGUGAAAUGUUGGGUUAAGUCCCGCAACGAGCGCAACCCUUAUCCUUUGUUGCCAGCGGUCCGGCCGGGAACUCAAAGGAGACUGCCAGUGAUAAACUGGAGGAAGGUGGGGAUGACGUCAAGUCAUCAUGGCCCUUACGACCAGGGCUACACACGUGCUACAAUGGCGCAUACAAAGAGAAGCGACCUCGCGAGAGCAAGCGGACCUCAUAAAGUGCGUCGUAGUCCGGAUUGGAGUCUGCAACUCGACUCCAUGAAGUCGGAAUCGCUAGUAAUCGUGGAUCAGAAUGCCACGGUGAAUACGUUCC